Non-coding RNA from Micropterus dolomieu (smallmouth bass), 745 nucleotides. The record is from the annotation of a RefSeq genome assembly. NCBI's taxonomy places the organism in Eukaryota, Metazoa, Chordata, Actinopteri, Centrarchiformes, Centrarchidae.
UAUGCAAACUCUUCCUCUCUUAUAAACACACCAUCAGCAACUUGUGGCAGAACACUGGGACAGUUUUAUAUAUUUCUGAAACACUCAGAUCAGAGAGCUGAACUACAGUGUUUAUCACAGAAUGGACAAUACAAUUAUCUGGAGUUUAUUAUUUGUAGUUACUAUUCAUGGAGUUUGGAGUGAGAUCAAACUGGACCAGUCUCCCUCUGAGGUGAAAAGACCUGGAGAGACAGUGAAGAUGUCAUGUGUCAUAUCUGGUUAUAGCAUGACAAGCAACAAUAUUCACUGGGUACGACAGAGGUCAGGGAAAGCUCUGGAGUGGAUUGGGUGGAUGAACACAGGUUCAAACUCUGCUAGCUAUGCCAGCGACUUUCAAAGCCGUUUCAUCAUGACUGAAAAUGUGCCCAGCAGCACUCAGUACCUCGAGGUCAAGAGCCUGACAGCAGAAGAUUCUGCUGUUUACUUCUAUGCUCGACAAAGCACAGUGACUGAAGACAGUGGAGCAGCUGCACAAAAAACUCCCAGCCUCAUACUCCCCCGUCCCAGCGUGACGUCCCAUAAGCGCCACUACACUCACUAAUACAUACAGUAUGCAUGUACAUGUAAUAGAGAGCAUUCUGAAGGACUGCUUAGGCUGUGUGUUAUCAACAACACAAAGACUUUAACAGCCAAUGACAGUUACAGGUGGGAAAGGGCGUCAUUUUGUGUUCAAACGUGGUGGGGACAUUUUAGGGCUCAGAUUAGA